RNAcentral lists this ribosomal RNA (237 nucleotides) under uncultured bacterium. RNAcentral describes it as "partial 16S ribosomal RNA". It matches the Rfam family "Bacterial small subunit ribosomal RNA", at positions 524 to 758 of the family's 1533-position model. The record is from RNAcentral.
UACGUAGGGUGCGAGCGUUAAUCGGAAUUACUGGGCGUAAAGCGUGCGCAGGCGGUUUUGUAAGUCAGAUGUGAAAUCCCCGGGCUUAACCUGGGAACUGCGUUUGAAACUACAAGGCUAGAGUAUGGGAGAGGGCAGUGGAAUUCCCGGUGUAGCGGUGAAAUGCGUAGAUAUCGGGAGGAACAUCAGUGGCGAAGGCGGCUGCCUGGCCCCAAUACUGACACUCAGGGUGCGACA